Piliocolobus tephrosceles (Ugandan red Colobus) is the source of this 505-nucleotide long non-coding RNA. RefSeq lists it as uncharacterized. The transcript is spliced from 3 exons. The record is from RefSeq and is a predicted model, not a curated record. NCBI's taxonomy places the organism in Eukaryota, Metazoa, Chordata, Mammalia, Primates, Cercopithecidae.
GGAAGGAGCCAGAAGCAGGAAGGGGAGGAAAGAGAGGAAGGGUCCUGGGGUUGGAGAAAGGGGCCGGGACAGGGGCGGAAGCGUCCACUGGGAGGAGGGAGCAGGCCCAGCGUCUGCCCAGUCCCCAGUGGGUGCGGGGGCGUCAGGUGGGCAAAACCCCAGCGAGGGGAAACGCCAGGAGAGAAAAUGGAGACUGCCUGGCUUUGGAAACUGCCCUGAGGUCACACAGCAGCCCAUGGUGCCUUCAGUCCAGCCGUCUUCUCUGGAAUCCCAACCCUUCCCUCAGGAGAGACGGAGUUUCUCUCUUGUUGACCAGGCUGGAGUGCAGUGGCGUGAUCUCAGCUCACCACUGUCGGGCCUCUGAGCCCAAGCUAAGCCUUCAUAUCCCCAGCGACCUGCACGAAUACAUCCAGAUGGCCUGAAGCAACUGAAGAUCCACAGAACUGAAAAUAGCUUAACUGACAUUCCACCAUUGUGAUUUGUUUCUGCCCCACCUUAACUGAUC